UUGACCUCGGAUCAGGUAGGGAUACCCGCUGAACUUAAGCAUAUCAAAAGGCCGGAGGGAA
This 61-nucleotide ribosomal RNA is filed under the name Bipolaris zeicola. Its description in RNAcentral is "partial 28S ribosomal RNA". The record is from RNAcentral. Lineage: Eukaryota; Fungi; Ascomycota; Dothideomycetes; Pleosporales; Pleosporaceae.